UGGCUCAGAGGUAGAGUGCUUGCCUAGCAUGCAUGAGGUCCUGGGUUCCAUCCCCAG
RNAcentral lists this transfer RNA (57 nucleotides) under Heterocephalus glaber (naked mole-rat). It matches the Rfam family "tRNA", at positions 8 to 63 of the family's 71-position model. Rfam says of the family: Transfer RNA (tRNA) molecules are approximately 80 nucleotides in length. Their secondary structure includes four short double-helical elements and three loops (D, anti-codon, and T loops). Lineage: Eukaryota; Metazoa; Chordata; Mammalia; Rodentia; Bathyergidae. The record is from Rfam by way of RNAcentral.